Molecule: long non-coding RNA, 4798 nt
Filed under: Paramuricea clavata
Lineage: Eukaryota; Metazoa; Cnidaria; Anthozoa; Malacalcyonacea; Plexauridae
Source: RNAcentral
UUGAUGAACAAGAUGAACAUUGUAUAUUUUUGCUGUUAAAAGUAACACAAGACUACAGAAAUAAGGUAAGUUACUGUAAUAUUACUUUAUAAUAACAUUACUUAUCAUGUAUUACUGUCUGUUUAUAAAAUAAUGAAUUUUUAUUGCUAUAAUUCGCUGUUCAAUCCGACAGAACACUGUUUGAUAAAACUUGAUCGAUAGACGACGAAAAUGGGCUUCAUCCAUAUUAGUCUAUGUACUUUAUCAAAGGUAGACAAUAUAAAUUCGUAGACUAGUUUAGCUCUGUUGGCUUAAACACAAUUAUUGAAUUGCAACGACAAUAUAGAAUCAAUUAAGUAUUGAAAUAAAAUUUUGAAUAAUACAUAAAAGUUGAAAUAUUCGAAUUGAAUAAAAGACUCUUGCUUAUAUUUAAUUUCGUUCAUGCUUAUACUGUAUGCUUUAUGCGUGGUCUAUAAUUUGGUAUAAACUUCAAGUAUUUGGAACAAGGAUAAACUGACAAUUGAUAUAGCAAAUAUACAGUUAAUUUUUUUAAAAUUCUGUGUUUGCAGUGGCUUUUUAAGAUGAUUUUCUGAGUGCAUGUUGUUUUGCUACACGUAUGGCGAAAUAAUUUCAGACUAUUCAGUUCAUGUCCAUAUUAUUUUGGAAGUUUAUAUUUAUAUUUGAUGCACAACCAAGCGCUUUAUCUUUCUUUACAAGUCAUUGUAGAUCGACAAGUUUAACAUCUUUCCUUGUCCAUUUGCUGUACCAGAGUUUAAUACUUCGUUACAAUAGAUUUGUCUGUCCAUCUGGUGGUCGUUUCAUAGUUUCAUGUCUUUUUAGUUGCUAUAUAACCAUAUUUUUUCCAUUGGUUGAGUUCUGUAACAAUGAUCUGAUUCAACUGUUAAUUCACUGUAUCAGAGUAUUUCAUUUGGUGGCCAGUACAUUGUAAAGGGCUGUCUUGAGUUGCUCAAUACCAUCUUGAUUUAUGGUUGCUUUCUGAGACAAUAAUUCUGAUUCGAAUACAUUGGUAUUGGUCGUCCAUUAGAUUUCUUUAAUUUAGAGAUUAUCACUUGCAUGGUUUCUUCUGUUUAAUCUGUAUCAUUUCUUAUACAUAGUAGACAAAACUAUUUUCCAGAAAUGCCAAUCUAAUAAACAUAUAGUCCUUUAAUAAAAAAAUAUAAUCAGCUUUUCAAUUGUCAGUUUCACUAGCCAGGUCCAUGCAUGUGGACAAAUAUAACUCAUUGAAAAUCAUCGAACAAAUGUGUAAGGAUUAAAACUUUACUAAAUGGCAUUUGAGUGUGCUUCCAUUGAAACAAAAAUGUCAUGCUUUGAUAACCAACUAUAGUCUAUAGGAUGGUAGCCCAUUGACUAUAAAAUUAUAUAACUUUUAUUAAUAAUAUAUUAAGUUCAUGUUUAAGUCUAUAUCAUUUGUAACACAUGCUCUUCACAUGAAAUCCUCAUUCAUCAAGAUAACUCUUCAUCAUGACUUUGAUGUCUAAAAGAAUGGCAAACUAUACAACAAAUUAAGUAGGUACAAAAACAAUAUCUCAUGUAUAAAGUUCUUUCAUUGUUAUACAUUAGAAUAAUUAGUUAGUGGAAAAUUUUAAGAAAUUAACUUUCUGGUAGCCCAAUUGGAUUGUGACAGUCUUUCACAUUACAGAUACAAAUCGGUGUACAUUGCUGUUGGCUUUUGUAGCAUUUACAUGCUCCAGUUUUGCAUUUUGUUUUGCAACCACAAGAGAUAAGGGAAAGACAACAUGUUGGUAUGCUUGGAAGAGUUGUCCAGACAAUUUCCAGAUUGUCUAAAGAAUCAGAUGCCUUCCAACCUCCAGUCACAACUGGUAGAGGGAGUUCCUGAAACUUAACAGUGGCUUGUAACCAGACAUUUGCCUGAAAAUUGCAUCUUGUUAUAUGCAGGCCUAAAGAAUUUUUAGUUGGUGGCAAUUUCUCAAGCUCUUUGUUACCUCUCUGAAAAAGAUCUACUCUGCAUUGGUUUACCCCAGCUAGUGGAUCUGGUGCACAAUACAACCUGCAAACAAAUUCUUCUACAUCCUGAACAAAGCAAUCCCUUCCAAUGCCAUAGAGCAAGUGAGGGUGCUCUUCAAAAACCUUCCAGCAUUUCUUUUUCCCGUAACCACUAAACGAAGAAGUUGUAUCACACCCAGUGAAUGCGUGAAAGCCUAAUAUAUUCUGAAUUACUCCCUCAGAUAGCUUAUCUGUAAUACUAUUUACGGGAAAGCACUUUUUUUGCUUUGCAUUGCCACCAACCAUCCAAGUUUCAAUUUCUUCAUUUUUUCCAAAAAAAUGAAUUAAUAGCAAAAGAACAUCGGUAUCUCUACACAACACUAUGAUUCUGUUAAAAUUAUUAGCAAUCGCUUCAUGUGCAUGCAGAAUAAGUCGGGUAUCUGCUUCCUCAUGAUUGUUAAAUAAGUUAGGAACCUCACCUCUUUGUGUUGAGCAUGCCUUAGUUGAAUCCACAUACCCACCACUUGUUACCAACUCAUACUGGUGACUAAAUUCCAUCCCAUGGCUCAUAAUGUAUUCAGUAAGGAACCUAGCAAGAUCUGCUUUAUUAUCACUUAAUGCUACAAAAUUUGCCCACACCUGAGGAAGACUUAAAUCACCACGGUUAAUAAUUUUACGAACUGGUCUCUUUUUUAUGCCUCUUUUAGCUCGAGUGGCUGAUUUAAUUGAUUGUUUUACGUAGGUGUCAAAGACAACAUCUACUCGUCUAACAUGUUCAUCAAUAUGUGCCGUGACAGCUCGAAAAAAGACUCUGGCAUAGUCAUCAAAGGUCCUACAGGUUUGAGGUUUUCCAAGAGCUUGAACUAAAGCAUGACCAUCUAUUAAAACACAAGUGUUUUGAUGCAUGGUUGGUGCAGGAAUUGUGUGAGGGAUUGUUUCCCCAUCCAUCAAAAUGUUAACCAAAUCUGACUUAGUUGUUGAGUUAAGAGUGCCAUUUACCUUUGCUAGAGAAAGAGGAACAUUAGAAAGCUCAUGUUUAAGAAUAUCAUGCAUAUCAAUGUUACGACCUGCUAGGGAUACUGUUAGAAGACGUUGUAAUAAUUUCCUAUCAGCCUUAAUAACUUUUUUCUCAUUCUGUAUGCUAAUAGAGGAAGCAUACAAUGUGGCAAAUGUUUUUGAUUUGUUUUUUUUUAUUGGAUCAAAAAAAGGCAUAUCCUUCCUUAACAGCCAUUUACCUAUGUUCUCUAGUACCAUCUGUUGCCCUCGUUGCUGUGCUGUCAACAUAUCAUGUUGUAUAUCACCAGUUGCAACAUCAUUGGUUGCCAGAGAAGUUAACUGAUGCAUAUCUACAUCCAUCCUUUCCCCCUCAUUUUCUACAUUUUCAGCAAUUUCUUCAAGGGCAACGUAGCCAUCAAGAGGAUCAAAUGUAUUUAUCUUAAAUACAUUAAAUCUUAAAAAGAGUUCUUUCAAGUCACUGACUGCAUUUUCAUCAACACUCACUCUGCCUGGCUGUGCGUCCUUCCUGGUAGAAAUUGUAUCAUUUGCAUCAUCAUCUACACCAAAUAACACUCUAGUAGAGUGAGAAAUAUAUGAACGUUCUGCCCAUGUUAUGCAGAACUUGUCCCUAGCAGUAUCAUUCCUAGUUAUUCCUAUAAUGCCAUUUGAUAUUUUGCAGAUUUUGUUCUGCCAUUCAGUAGCUUGGUCGAGAGGUAUCUGAUUAAAUUUUAGUUGACUCCUCUUAACUACAAAGUUUCCAUUCAGAAACUCCUCAUAAACUAGUGUAUGUGUGUUUUGUAAGUUUUUCAUUUCACACAAGUAAACAGCACCCCACCUAGCAUAAUUUGUAUGGUCAUAGAUUGUCAUCCAUGGAAGCAUUGCUGAAAAUGAAUCUAAGUGAAGGGCCCAGUUACCCUCCCGAUUAGCCCUGAUAAAGUCUAGCAAUGUUUCAACCAUCUUCAUGUAUGACCUCCAAAGAACAAAAUUGGGUAAAUGCUGCAGUGUAUUAUCAAAUUCAUCCAUCAUACCUAAAACAUCAUGCGUCUUUAGAGUAGUGACUAAACAAUUUACUGCUUUAACUGCUUCAUCAUCAGAAUUUCUGUGACUGAAUGCCUUUACUAUUUGAUCUGUCAUUGAUUUUAAAUUAACCUCCCUUUCAUUAGAUGUUAACCAAGAAGUAAAAUAUUGCCAAUAAAUUCGACUUAAAGCUUCAUAUGUUAAUAGAUGACCUCUUACAGCUCGAUAAUAUUGCUUCCCUUCUAACAUUGCACCAGUAGUAUUUUGCGCAAAAACACCAGACUCAACCCAUAUAUCUGCAAGCCCUGAAUUUUCCAUAUGUUGACCUAUUGCUUUAAGAAAGUUAAAGAGAACGUGCAAAUGGCCCAUAACCAAAACUACAUUCUGAUAUUUUUCAGGGUUGGCCCAAAUAAUUUCCUUGCCUCUACUGUACAAAGGUUGAUCUACUGCUAUUACAGUAUUUGGCUGGCCAAGAUGUUUAGCAAUUGAUGUAAAGCGGUUAAGUAUGGUUGUCAUGGUAUUAUUAUCAUCUGCAGGAGCCUGAAGUAUAGGCAACAUACCAGGCGUAGUAAUGGGUGAGUUAACUAAGCUAAUCUUCUCAUUAAAAGCAGCCCAAGCUGGCACCAUUUGUUGAGAGGUUUGGCACAUACGUGCUAUUAUCCAUGCCAUAUUUUUCAUUUUUGACUCAACCUGAUUAUUGCUUUUAUUAAACCACUUUUCUAUUUCUAGGUCAGGAGGAAGGUUACUAACUGGCUUUGGCCUUUCACCAACUGGCAUGCUGGCAUGAUCUAACUUAUGGAAUUGAUCUAAGCUAUCUCUUGUUAUUGUUUUUGCCCUGUUG